CCGCCGGUUCGUAAGGGCACUCUAAGGAGACUGCCGGUGACAAACCGGAGGAAGGUGGGGAUGACGUCAAGUCAUCAUGGCCCUUAUGGCUAGGGCUACACACGUCUUCCAAUGGCCGGUACAAAGGGAUGCCAACUCGCGAGAGGAAGCCAAUCCCAUAAAACCGGUCUCAGUCCGGAUUGCAGUCUGCAACUCGCCUGCAUGAAGUCGGAAUCGCUAGUAAUCGCGAU
This 230-nucleotide ribosomal RNA is filed under the name uncultured bacterium. Its description in RNAcentral is "partial 16S ribosomal RNA". It matches the Rfam family "Bacterial small subunit ribosomal RNA", at positions 1119 to 1348 of the family's 1533-position model. The record is from RNAcentral.